This 309-nucleotide long non-coding RNA is filed under the name Phoenix dactylifera (date palm). RNAcentral's name for it is "long non-coding RNA (PDAC_LNC017400)". The record is from RNAcentral. Lineage: Eukaryota; Viridiplantae; Streptophyta; Magnoliopsida; Arecales; Arecaceae.
UGCAGCAAUCCAGGUGGAAGACUGCAGCUACUGAAGUUGGCUUGGUAGGACAGUGGCAAGGAAAAUUUGUAAGCAAACAAACCCAGCAUGUGUCCAUUCAAUUUCAGAUUAUAGAAGAAUCUAGUAUCUACGAUGACAUGACAACAUUGCCCAAGACCUUCAAUAUGGUUCAAAGGGAUAGGAACACCAAAGGACGGUGCCAUUAAGAUUGAUUCCUCUUCAUUUAGGAAAAAGAAGAUUUUACAUCCAACGCUGUCUAAAUUUAUUAUACAGCAGUUUUCCAACUUUGUUGAGAAAAUGAUACUUGCU